UCCAUUCCUCCAACUUUUUAUAGUGCUCGGAUCUUCCAAGAUUUACAUAGUCUGUGUUCCCCGAUUUCAUAUAGUAUUCCGCUAUGUCGAGUGGUUCGACCAUCCUUCUAUAGUUUGUCCCUGCAUACAGCCAACGAGUACGAAAAGCUGUCUCCUCUCUUUGUGGCAUUUUCUCUACUUCUGCAACCAUUGUUUUCCAGUACCUAGUGAGGAUUCUUUGGUGCUUGACAAUUUCUUGUCUGCUUUUGACAGCAUCCCUGCCUCGAUACUCACUGCGUUUAAAACUAUCAUAGUAGCCUCCUUCUUUCAGGGUUACUUUCUUGUACCACUCUAGCCAUGCCAUAGCUUCUUUCAUUUUGUUUAGCUUCUUGCCAGGAUCAAAGGCAUCCUUCUUCUUGUCGAAAGAUUCUUUCACUCUUUGCUUCACUUCAGUCCUUAGAGGGUUCAUGUUACUUGACUGCUGCCAUGACAAUUAUAUGCAUUAUAGAAGUUAGAAAUACAGGUUUAGAAACAUGUUCUAUAAGUUUUACGAAUGUUAUCUGUAUUGAUUUCCUAUUCAUUCAAACUUUAGCUAAAGAAAGGGAAACUAUACUUGCUUUCAUUUUAGGAGUAAGAGUUUGUUUUACCUGUCCACCAAUUCCGAUUGCUUCUAGCUGUAGAUCAAUGCCUGCUUGAAGUUGAUCCACGCUAUAGUGAAACAGCUGAGAAGUACCCUUAAAGAUUACUCUAUGCUUGAGGAGUUCCAAAACCUGUUCAUAGUCGAAAGCCAAGAAACGAUUGUCCUGGUGUUGGCUAUUUAAGUUCAUUUCCAUCAUAAUAUCCAAAACUGACUCAGGCUCCUCAAAACAGGAGCAGUCUGAAUCUGAGCACAGCAGAAACAUGCCGAAUGGAUUGUAAAUACAAGAUUGAGGAAUAGAACCAGCAAAGGCAUUAGUUGGUGAAAUUAAAGAUCUUAGGAUUGGAUCAUGGUUCGAGACUACGUGCAAGAAGCUUGAAUUCCAUGAUGGACGUUCUGAUAUGGCUUGUUGCCGGCCACUAUCACCAAGAAGAGGUGAACCAAAAGUGAUGCAAGUAGGACGCUUAUUAUUGUCCUUAAGUAGCCAGAGAGUGAAAAGAGAUGCCACAGAACCUCCCAAAGAAACUCCAGUGAUUAUUAGAGGACUGACAUUGCCCAACUGCAGUCAAUCAGAAUGAACAAAACAGAAACAUGAAUAUAUGAACAACAAGGCUCCUGAAAAUCAAUGCUUCAGAAGGAAGUAAGUUUUGGUUUCGUAACAGAGUUUCAAGUAUUCUAUCAUGUCAAAUUUCCAGCAUUACCAUGCUAACAUCAGUCAAGGUAUUCGAGAUUUUUCUUUUGCUGUUUGUUUACAGAAAUAACUGCACAAUUACAACAAAGUUUAUAGGCGAAUUUAUACUAAUAAAAGGACACAUUUCUUAUUUGGCAACUAAAAAGAAGCUCAGGAUUUGUAAAUUCAAAAAGAGAUUUCUUCUUUAGCACCAGAAUCUAACCAAUCUAAAUGUACCACUCAGUUAGGUUAACUUAAUGUAUUGACAGUUGAAACCACAUAAUGCUUCAUUUUAUACUAUCCAUCUCUCUUUAUUUCUUGGAGAUAUUAUGGUCAAUAAUUCCCAUGUCAAGACAAAAUAACUAAAAUAUUCCCUUUGUUUCAAUUUCCUUGUCUUGCGUUUCUUUUUAGUUCGUUUAAAAAAGAAUCAAUGAUUAAAUUUUUUUGGCAACUCUUUGCUUCUAGUUUUCUACCUAACAUGUCUAUGAUUAUAACAUUAAACGAUACCUUUUACGUAACUUUAGUUUAAGACUACAAAAUAAAAAAGUUUCUUUGCAUUUUAAAGUUUUGUACCAAGUUAAAACCAGACAAACAAAUUAAAACGGAAAAAGUAAUAUCUAGCACAAGUAAGGAAAGCUCAAGAGAAAUCACAAAUUUUGCAGAGAAACAAAAGAAUAUUAUAGUACCUGUUCUUUGAGGGCAGAGAGCUCAUUCAGUAAUGACUCAAAAAGGGUUAUUGCUGCUUUGUUAACUGAGAAAUGAGGGUUGAAUUUGGUAGAAAUGAAGUCAAAAGGAGAUUGAGAACCUUCCAGAUCUUCUGAAGAGACCAUUUCUUUCUGAAGAGUACAAGUAGGAGAGGAUACAAAAGCAACAAUAGCACCAUUUGAAUGAUAUGGGUAAACUUUAACCAAAAUUGGAUUAUUCAAAUAAGGAUGAUUCCUAAGGUCAGAGAUUGUAAACCAAGAAUGAAGAAGUAGAUCUGAGCUCACCAACAAAUUUGCAAAUUCUUGGCCACUACUAAACCUGUAGAACAAAAAAAUGAAAAAUUGGGUCAUGUAAAACAAUACAAUCUUGAACAAUAAAGCAAAAAGAUUUGAACUUUUUGUAGUAUAUGCCAUAAAAGAAUAAAAAUUGCCACUCACAUGGAAACUUGGCUCAUCUUGGCCUUUGGAGAAUUUGACAUAUUCCUGAAGGCCUAGCUAACAUCUAAUAUAAAUAAGCAUAGCAGUAGAAGAUAUUGCACAAGAAGUUAAAAUACAAGUUUGACAAAUGAGGCAAAAAAAGGGUUGGCAAAUGAGAAAGGAAUGAGGAAAGUAGAUGUAAAGGACAAGAAGAAAAUGCCCAGAAAUUGAAGGAGAAGAAGGGAAUGGUGGUUUACUUUUUGAUUUUUCUUGACUCUCAAGUCUACUAGUAUAACUAAUACUCCCUUAGUUUCAAUUUACGUGACACAGUUUGACAUGAAACAAGAUUAAAGAAAUUUUAGUCAUAUGGAACUAAGGAUACACAUGAGUACUCGUAAGUAGGAAUAGUUUAGUUUAUUAACUAUCUAAAUUUUCGAUUUGUUGGACAGGAUUUUAUUUCCACUUUGUAUUUCUCUCGCCCCCACACCCCCUGUUUCCUCCUCCCUCCCAAUAAAAAAGAAAAGAAAAGAGAGAGUAGUCGUAAUCGGUUAAACUUCUGAGAGGUUUCUAACUCAGCUUUAGUUUAAUCAUCUUCCAUUCUUGAAGACUUUUUUUCUUCUGCAAGUUGAACAAGUCGAGUCUAUACUAUUAAAUUAAUGCCUAGUGUACUAUACAGACAUGAAUUUGAAAAUUUUGGGAGGGGUUGGUGGGACUAAGAGGAUGAUUCCAUGAUAUUUAAUUUUAAAUAUGCAGGCACUAGCUUUAUUAUAGGCAUAAUACAAAUUGGACCCUAAACUUGGCUUCAAAUUUUAAGUAUGACCUCUAACUUUCAUAGUGCAUAAGUAGGCACUUUAACUAUCCAAUUCUUAAACAAAAAAUACGCGAAUCCAACAGCCAAAUUGUGUGAUAUACAAACGCUCCAACGUGGCUUAUUGAGCCACUCAGUGGCUGCCACGUAAUUAAAAAAUUACACGUAUUUUAUAAUUAAAAAAAGAAAUUAAAAUACAAAAGGGUAGGGUCGUAUUUUGUUUUCCCAACCCACCCCCUACCAGCCCCUCCACCCCCCAAAAAAAAUUGAAAUUUAUUUUUAAAAAAUAUUUUCAACUUCAAAAUUUCUUUUUUUUCACCCCUACCUCGACCCGCCCCACCCAGCAAACAUCUAAUACAAUAAGCAUAGCAGUAGAAGAUACUGCACAAGAAGUUAAAAUACAAGUUUGACAAAUGAGGCAACAAAAAAGGUCGGCAAAUGAGAAAGGAAUGAGGAAAGUAGAUGUAAAGGACAAGAAGAAAAUGCCCAGAAAUUGAAGGAGAAGAAGGGAAUGGUGGUUUACUUUUUGAUUUUUCUUGACUCUCAAGUCUACUAGUAUAACUAAUACUCCCUUAGUUUCAGUUUACGUGACACCGUUUGACAUAACACAAAAUUAAAGAAAUUUUAUAGUCAAUAUGGGACAAAGAGUACACAUGAGUACUCGUAAGUAGGAAUAGUUUAGCUGAUUGACUACCUCAAUUUUCGAUUUGUUGGUGAGAAUUUUAUUUCCACUUUAUAAUCCUCUCGCCCCACACCCCUGUUUCCUCUUCCCUCCCAAUAAAAAUGAAAAUAAAAAAGAGUGAGCAGUCGUAAUCAGUUAAACUUCUGAGAGGUUUCUAGCAUCAGUUUAAUAUUUUCCAUUUUUGAAGACUUUUUUUCUUCUGCAAGUUGAACAAGUCCUACACUAUUAAAUUAAUGCCUAGUGUACUAUAUAGACAUGAAUUUGAAAAUUUGAGGAGGGGUUGGUGGGAGUAAGAGGAUGAUUCCAUGAUAUUUAAUUUUAAAUAUGCAGGCACUAGCUUUAAGCCAUUAUUAUAAGAAGAUAUAGUGAAGAGUAAUAUUUCUUUAUAUACUUAUUAUACUUCUUGAUAUCCUAAUAUUAAAACACACUUAUGGUGUUUCUUGACUAUAAGGUAGAAUCAAUUGAAAUAUUCAAUUUUUGAAAGGAGAAAGGAGUAAACUAGUGGUAGUUUAAUUAUAAAAUGUAGUACUAUCACAACUACAAUGAUUGUAACAUAAAGCAAAAGUAGAAUAUUCUACACGUCACGACAAUUUUCCAAAGGACAUAAACCAAUUAAUUAGUUUGAAGAAGUUGCAUCCCAACUUCCUCUGUAUCUUACAUUAUAACAUGAAUAGUCUUAACUCAUAUCAUGGAAGAAAACUUUGUGCAUGGUUCUAUUAUGGUUAAUGAGUGGCUCUGAUAUUUACACCAAGCCAAAUUAGUAUUAAUAGAUUAAGCCAAAAAAAAAAAUUCAUCAUCUUCAUCUGGGUUAUGUUUCUCUUUUGAGAUUUCUUCCCAAUUGAAUUCAUUGUAAAGAGGGGAAAUUCGAGUAGGACUAGCAGGUGCACUGUAAAACAACGUGGCAGCACGUGGAGGACUUGACGGACCACUCAUGUACGGAGUAGUAUAACCACUGUCGAUGUUGAAAUCCACAUGAAGAAAACUGCCAUAAGAAUACUUGAAAUCAGUUCAAUACGAAGAAAUACGAAAUCAGUUCAUACUAAGAAAUACGAAAUCAGUUCAAUAAUAGGAAGAAAUCAGUUCAUAUACUUACAUCUGGACGAGGGCAUCUGAAAAAUCUUCUUCCGGGAUUAGAUGUAGUACUCGAAAUCAGUGUUUUGACCACUAAACCACAAGCACAUUUUCUUUGAGACGAAUAACUAUUUUGUGACAUUUUCUGAAAAGAAAAAUCAGAGGUGAACGAAAGAGAUGGUGGAAAGAACAAUCAGAAGGAAGAGAAAUGAAGAACAAUGGAGGAGAAGUUAAAGAGUUAUAUGGAAAAUUUGAGAGAAUGGGUAAAAGGGGAAUGGGCUAUCCUCUAGAGGGGUCGGGGGCAAGUCGGGGCAUUGGGUUAAAAAUAGGGAAUAAGGUUUUAGAAAAAAAAUUCCGGUAAUUUGGAUCAAUUUUGGGGAUUCCAUCAAAUGAGAGGUAAUUUUGGUGAAAUUAGUAAUGGGAAGGAUAAAUUUAACUUCAUUUUAACGGCAAGGAUAAAGUCAAACUAUAAACGAAAGUUGAGAGGUAUUUUUGACCCUUUUCCCUUAAAAAAAUAGUAGAAGAUCGUUACUGCCCCUUUUUUAAAAUUAUACUUCUUAUCAAUUCCAAUUUUUCUUUUAACAAUUUAUUUCUAGUUUUACAAUUACUAGAAGCGAAAAGCUUCUUCUUCUUUUUUGGCUACGUUUUUUACGUUAUUUUUAGAAAGAUUAUAAUUAAAUAAUUGGAGCGGAUCAAUAAAAUAAUUAAAAUAGAUAUCUUAUUAUUUCUUUAAAAAUAGUUUAAGAUAAAAUUUAUUGAAAAAAUUAUUUAAAUUGAUUGAGUGACUUUCUAAGUGAAAUAUAAAUAGUUGGGUGACUUUUUAAAUAAAAACAUCAAUAGUUGGAUGACUUUUGAGUUAUAAAACAAAGUUGAGUGACUUUCUAAGUAAACAACUUAAAGUUGAGUGAUUUUUUAAGUAAACAACUCAAAAUUGAGUGAGCAUCUGAGAUAUUAACUCAUUUCUCAUGUGUACUUGAAUCGCAAAAAGAUUUAUAGAAAUGAGCAGACUUUUAGGCACUACUAGGAUUUGGAAAUGAAAUGCUUUUUCUCUGAUAACGAGUUACUUGUUCAAUGGGGAUAGAGAAUGGUGCGUUGGAUUUUAAGCUUUUAAGUUUAUUUACUGAUAUUCUAACUCCGCCUCUGAUUAACGGUUGACCCCUCUAGAUGAAGAGGAUGAUUGUAGGUGAGGUGGACUAGUUUGGCGUUAAAUUUCAGUUCUAUAGUCUCUUGAUUAAAUAUAUCACGUGUAUAUAUUGUGUAUAUCACUGAGCAUACCCAUAUUUUCAUGGAUAUUUGUGUAUGAUAUACAUGAUAUAUAGGAGAUACAAGGGGGAUAUACAUAGAUGGAGUCGUUUUCAACCUCAAGUUUUUAAUUUGAAAAUCAGCUCAAAUUCACCUCAAAUAGUCUCCAAACAAUUUGAAAAUUGAUAUUCAAGCUCUUAAAAUAUUAAGUAAAAUCCAUAAAAUUUUCUUCUUUUUUUGGGUACUAAAGAUGAAACUUCAUUAACUAAACAGGAAUGUUACAGGGAGUGUGCACAGACCUAUUUGGUAAAUGGUAAUACAAUACAUUUUCACAUACCGAUCUUAUUAAGUUAUGCAACUGGAGUAGAGUCGCUUAUAGAAUGCCGACGACUAUUUUCCACUUAGUAAGUAAAGGGGAGAGGGAAGCCAGGCUUAGCGAGUUUUAUAAGGCCGACCACUACAUGAGCCGCUGGUGGAGACUGGAGUAGUUAACACUAACUACCAUUCUAAGCAUAACUUUGAUAAUCUCCAUUUUCCAUGUAAAAGGCCAAAGGCAAAUUACUCAAACAGCUUAGAAUAUCUUGCCUAUAAUCUUUCCACCAAUUCAUGAAGCUACUCUGAGGCUGGAAAAUCUCAGAGGAUACUGAAUAGCUCCAUAUCAUAUUCAUUACAUAUCCCCCAAAUUUAACCAAAUACGCCGUUGCAUUUUCCUUCUCUUCUAGACUGCCUUCUCUCAGUCUUUUGGAAUUUAUAAUAGCUUCCUCCACAUAUGCCCAAAAGCAAGAAUCUUCGGUGAGGUUAACGGACUUCCUUCUAUAGUUACCACUUCCAGACGGGUUGUCUUCUUUCCUCCAUUCCUCCAACUUUUUAUAGUGCUCGGAUCUUCCAAGAUUUACAUAGUCUGUGUCCCUGAUUUCAUAUAGUAUUCAGCUAUGUCGAGUGGCUCGACCAUCCUUCUAUAGUUUUGUCCCUGAAUACAGCCAACGAGUACGAAAAGCUGCCUUUUUGCUUUGUGGCAUUUCCUCUACUUCUGCAACCUUUGUUUUCCAGUACCUAUUGAGGAUUCUUUGGUGCUUGACAAUUUCUUGUCUGCUUUUGACAGCAUCCC
This 7318-nucleotide long non-coding RNA is filed under the name Solanum tuberosum (potato). RNAcentral's name for it is "long non-coding RNA (STUB_LNC002878)". Lineage: Eukaryota; Viridiplantae; Streptophyta; Magnoliopsida; Solanales; Solanaceae. The record is from RNAcentral.